This 416-nucleotide ribosomal RNA is filed under the name Desulfotomaculum sp. AN002. RNAcentral describes it as "bacterial SSU rRNA". It matches the Rfam family "Bacterial small subunit ribosomal RNA", at positions 95 to 526 of the family's 1533-position model. RNAcentral also lists the same sequence under 1 other name. The record is from RNAcentral. Lineage: Bacteria; Bacillati; Bacillota; Clostridia; Eubacteriales; Desulfotomaculaceae.
GUGGCGGACGGGUGAGUAACGCGUGGAUAACCUGCCUGGUAGACCGGGAUAACAGCUGGAAACGGCUGCUAAUACCGGAUACGCUCUUGGGGCCGCAUGGUGCCGAGAGGAAAGGGGAGCCGCUAUCAGAUGGAUCCGCGUCCCAUUAGCUGGUUGGUGGUGUAGCGGACCACCAAGGCGACGAUGGGUAGCCGGCCUGAGAGGGCGACCGGCCACACUGGGACUGAGACACGGCCCAGACUCCUACGGGAGGCAGCAGUGGGGAAUCUUCCGCAAUGGGCGAAAGCCUGACGGAGCAACGCCGCGUGAGGGAAGAAGGCCUUCGGGUUGUAAACCUCUGUCCUAAAGGAAGAAAGAAAUGACGGUACUUUAGGAGGAAGCCCCGGCUAACUACGUGCCAGCAGCCGCGGUAAAAC